RNAcentral lists this ribosomal RNA (492 nucleotides) under uncultured bacterium. Its description in RNAcentral is "partial 16S ribosomal RNA". It matches the Rfam family "Bacterial small subunit ribosomal RNA", at positions 29 to 507 of the family's 1533-position model. The record is from RNAcentral.
AGUGAACGCUGGCGGUAGGCCUAACACAUGCAAGUCGAACGGCAGCACAGUAAGAGCUUGCUCUUACGGGUGGCGAGUGGCGGACGGGUGAGGAAUACAUCGUAAUCUACUUUUUCGUGGGGGAUAACGUAGGGAAACUUACGCUAAUACCGCAUACGACCUUCGGGUGAAAGAAGGGGAUCUUCGGACCUUGCGCGAUUGAAUGAGCCGAUGUCGGAUUAGCUAGUUGGCGGGGUAAAGGCCCACCAAGGCGACGAUCCGUAGCUGGUCUGAGAGGAUGAUCAGCCACACUGGAACUGAGACACGGUCCAGACUCCUACGGGAGGCAGCAGUGGGGAAUAUUGGACAAUGGGCGCAAGCCUGAUCCAGCCAUACCGCGUGGGUGAAGAAGGCCUUCGGGUUGUAAAGCCCUUUUGUUGGGAAAGAAAAGCAGCAGGUUAAUACCCCGCUGUUCUGACGUUACCCAAAGAAUAAGCACCGGCUAACUUCGUG